AGCGAACGCUGGCGGCAGGCCUAACACAUGCAAGUCGAACGAACCUUUCGGGGUUAGUGGCGGACGGGUGAGUAACACGUGGGAACGUGCCUUUAGGUUCGGAAUAACUCAGGGAAACUUGUGCUAAUACCGAAUGUGCCCUUCGGGGGAAAGAUUUAUCGCCUUUAGAGCGGCCCGCGUCUGAUUAGCUAGUUGGUUGAGGUAAUGGCUCACCAAGGCGACGAUCAGUAGCUGGUCUGAGAGGAUGAUCAGCCACAUUGGGACUGAGACACGGCCCAAACUCCUACGGGAGGCAGCAGUGGGGAAUCUUGCGCAAUGGGCGAAAGCCUGACGCAGCCAGGCCGCGUGAAUGAUGAAGGUCUUAGGAUUGUAAAAUUCUUUCACCGGGGACGAUAAGGACGGUACCCGGAGAAGAAGCCCCGGCUAACUUCGG
Molecule: ribosomal RNA, 433 nt
Filed under: uncultured bacterium
Lineage: Bacteria
Description: partial 16S ribosomal RNA
Rfam family: Bacterial small subunit ribosomal RNA
Source: RNAcentral